GUCUGACAGCAGCGACCGGCUCCGCAGGGCCGCCUUCCCGUCUUGGAAACGUGCCCGGCGGCCGGCCCCGGGCCGGGCAGCCCCCUCGGCGUGAGGGGAGGCGGCACGGCCCCCGCUGCAAGCGUUUCGCCGAAAACACCUCAAAUGGAGGGACGGGCAGGGGCUCCCCGGGAAGGGGAGAGGGCCUGGCCGCGGAUCGGGCUCGCCCAGCGCGUUCCUGGCGGAGAUGGAAGGCGCUGGCAGGGGUCGGGGGUUGUUUGUGUCAGGGAAGGAAGGGAGGGACCACAGCAGGCCUUGCUUGUGCGGUGGGGAGUGAGGGGUGGCGAGGCUUGCACCGGUCCUGCGGUCCCGGGGGUGCCCCUCGCUGCCGGCCGGAGCUCAGCUCCGCUCCGUUCGCUGGUGGGACUCUUCUCCCAGAGCCUUAAGGCACUGCUGAGUACGUGAAGAGCAAUGGGUCGUGAACUGGGCUGGACCCCGCGGGAAGCCCAGUGCACAGAGCAAGGCAGGUCUGGUGAGCCUGUGCUAGCAGGGCUGACCUGGCACCUUGUGCUGUGCAGUUGGGGUUUUCUAGAGUGUUGCGUAUGGAAGCAUUCCUCUGUCUAUGCUCCAGUCGAGAAACAACAAAAGUAUAAGUAAGUUUAGAACAUCCUUUUCAAAGGCAGAGCAGAGCUUCUCAUGAAAUAUAGAUGACAGAAGAUAUUGGUUACAGAAACUGUCAUGGCAGAGGCGAUCACUGAAGAGCAUUACAGGUUGACUUGACCAGCAGUAAUCACUUGUGUCAAAGACAACUAUUCACUGUGAAUGCUUCGAAGGAGUUCUUUGUCCAUUAUCAUAGUUCUAACAAAGCUCUCUAGCCCUUGGUUAGAUUUAGUUGAUCACACUCAAACAUUAGUUAGUUGAUCACGUUCAAACUUUGGCCCAUUUGGGAAUUAAUGUAACAGUCACAUGAAGUAAAAUGGAGAGGAAGCUAAAUGACAUUUUUAGGUUGGCUGUGCCAGCAUCCAUGUUUUCAGAGUAGUUCACCUGGUGGCUCCAUGUGAGUGUGGGAAGAGGCUGGGGAGAGAAUUGCUGCAUACAAUUUCCCAAUAUUUUGCUUUUUGGUUAAUGGCCUUCAGAAGGUACUCAGUCCAUUUUAGCUAACUGUAUCUUUCACCUCUUUCUGAUACGACAGGCGGCACUGUGUUGUCAGCAUUACAAAUGCUAGGGUGCAGGCUCUGAAACAUGGAAAUGCCUUUUUGCCCUCUAUCCACUGACAAACAAUGAUCACCCAUCAGUGCUACUAAAGUAAUUUUAGUUCGCUCUCCUUCCCUGACCUGAAUUCAGAGUCAUGAAUUCAGUUUCAUAGAUGCUAAUUUCAGUCGUCUAACUAACGGCAUCUCAGAAUUUAUCCAGUCUUCCAUUAGCAUGUGUUGUUCACUGAGUGUCAUUCAGUGAAGUGUUUGGGACAUCUUCAGCAAUGUGCCACCUGAGUCCUUAGCAGGAUACAAACCCUUCAAAAACACCUUCUCUGGGGAACACAAAUAGCUGCUCAUUGCAAAAUCACCCAAGAGUGCAACGUGCAGAGUGAAUGGCUUCCAUCUCCACAGCCUAACGUACACUGCAAAAUCUUUUUCCUAUCCCCAGAGACCUAGAAAGUUACUCAUACAGGAAGAUCUUUUCUAAUCCCCAGAUACUGUAAAACAUAGCAGCAAAAUCCCUUUCAUCACACACAAACACACACAGCAAAAUGCUAGUUCUGCUGUAGAGAUGUAAAACUUGCAGCAAAUUCUUGUCCCCUAUUUCUACUUCCCUCUAGACAGACAAAACAUUUUGCAUCCCAGUCUUAUAGAUAUGACAAAAUACUUGCACAAACACAUUAAGAGCACUUCAUGAAUGCUGGCAACAUCCCAGAAACAUUGUAAAGGGUGGCUAAGAGGUCAGAAUUCUGAAUGCCAGAUCCCUUGUUGUUGAACACACAACUACAGCACAGGUAAGCAGGUUUAGUUCAGCACUCUGCCAGGCAUUUUCAGUUUUUAUUUGAGUAAGAGCAAAUAAGUAGGUCAUUUGUCUUUCCUCAGAUGGCAUUCCUCACUGGAACAGAUACAACUGCAAUGUGAAUGGAGAGCUAUUCUCAUAUGACUCAGCAAGAGAGACUGCCAUUUUGACUCACAGGACCUGAGGUCAGCCUGGAGCCUCCCAGUCCGUAAGCCCUGAGAAUCUCCAGGAAGCUGCGGCAGCAGUCGAGGACUGAGGACCAGCAAGGCCCUAUGGGCCACCUGCUGGAAGGAAAACAGGGCCUGUCCAUGGUGUGACCUUACCCCAAAUCUACCCAUGACAGCUGUGUGUUACACCUGAUAACAUCCCAGCAUCCAAAUGAGCCUACUACUCUUACCAAACCUGGAUGGAUGAAGCAGAAGGCAAGUUUGAGGAAUAAGUAUUGCAUUUUUAUAUUGAAUAAAUUGUAGCUUAGCAGUUGCUAUUACAGACUAAGUAGGAUCUAAAUUACUUAACACCCAUGCAACUGUGUCUGUUCUGUUCUCUUUUUAGUCUACUCUUCUCCUUAAUCUCUUUUUAUAUAAUCUCUAUUUUAAGUCAUACUGUGCAUAUUCAGUAACUAUGUUUUCUUGCUGAUCACCAAAACCUCAGCUACCGCUAGUUGCUGGGGAGGUACCAGACUCCCUGCAGGGAGAGCAACAGGGGACUGUGCUACUCUGAAGGGUUAGGGUACCUCAUCAAGAACUAGGUAUUACAGCAUUUGUGGAGGGUCACCAGAGGCUGAUAGCCUUCUUGUCAUACUAUGAAGUGCAGUAGGCUGAAAUGACUUGUCUAAUCUCCUAAAGCAAGGCAGUGACAGAGCUGGAAAUAAUCUCUGAAGGCAAAAGCUCUUUGUAACAUAUUUUCUGCAAAUAUUGCAUUAUUUGGAUGGUUUCCAGUUGAUUAUUGCAAAUAUAAAAAAAUAAAAUUUCUGCGUUACUGAGCUUCCGGGGUCCACAUUUGAUUUUAAAUCCAAGGAUGUCUGUGUCUGUUUUAUGCUACUAUUCAUCUACUGUCUUAUAUCCACCUUACAAGUAAUUUUUAAAUUUUCCUAGCUGUAACUCCACUGAUUCUAAUUUGUUGUAACUUACAUUCGAAAGAGAAAGGACAGACUAGGGUCCAAUAAAAGCAAGUAACAUGAAGAUAUAAGAAGGCAAUGACUAAAGCAUGGUGGGAACUUCUACCAUUAAUUUUAUGCCUUAUUUAGUGCACCUUAUUCUAGUUCCUUGGUAUCUAAAUGACACAAGUUAGAAGUCCCUUAUACUCCCCAAGACUCUGAGACAAUCUCUAAGAUUUUCAUCUGCUUGAAGUCACUGGCAAAACUACUCUGGACUUCAGUCCAGAACUUAUCUUUUGUACUUCUGUGUACACUUGAUAGCCUAAAACUUAACUCGCAUUAUUCAUCAUCUUUGUUUUUCCCCUAGCCUUAGAAAUGGCUUAGCCAGAACAAACAGUGAAUGUCCUGCAGAGUGGUUUUAGAUUCCAUUAAGUUAUUCUCCCCUUUCUGCAAAAACAGUAUCAUCCUGUCAUGAUCUGAAUCAUGUUUUGACCCCAAACUAGCAAAGCCCUAGAUCACUACACAGCUGCAUUAAAACCAAAUUACUAGGUUGCAAUUACCUCUUAAGGAUUAUGUUACACAUUUUAUUUAGUUAGCAUUUCCUUUCGUAACUUACUUUUUUCAAAGCUGUAAACUUGUUCAUUAGCCAGCAUACCACAUAUCUGGCUAAUUUGGAUGUCUGCCUGUAAUAAAUAUUAGGGAUAUCAUGCAGACAAACCAAAAUUUCUAACACUUCUCAAAUGCCAGACUGUCUUCAAAACUCAGAAGAAAGGUUACUGCUGUCUGAACAUUUAACAAAAUAAUUUUUAAGAAAGAGAAGAUGCUUGGGUAAGAUGGAUAUAUUCACAUUUCCUGCAUGUACCUUCUGAAGUAAUUCAGGAACUAGCCUAAGCAAGCACUGAAUCGCUUCCAGGUAUUUCAGGUAUCUUUGAAAACUCAUGAAGGACAGUGGAAACAGUAGACUGAAAAAAGGAAACAUAACAGCUUUUAGGAAAAAAUGAUAGAAGAGAACCCAAGGUAGCCAGGUAGCCUAACUAACUUCCACCCCUGGAUUCUGGAACAAAUUAUUUAAUAAGCGGUUUCUAAAGGCCUAGAACAUGAUAAGGUGAUAAAAACUUGCUGACAUGCCUCUUUCAAGAACAGACCAUGUCAAACCAAACUAAUUUUCUUCUUCCAUGUAUUGCCUACUAGAUACAGAUGAAGCUGGAAAAAUGACUCACAUAGAUUUUAGUAAGGCUUCUGAGUCUGUUCCCUGUUGGUUUAUAUAAGUAACUAAAGAAGUAUGGCCUAGAUGAAAUCCCUAGAAGGUAAGGAUAGAUGAGGGCAACAGAUCAAAAAAUACUGUGUUGGAAAGUGGUUAUUGGUUAUUGACUCAAACAGUCAAUUUGAGAUGGCAUUUCAUGGAUGCUUUAGGAAUUUGGGACAGUUCUCCUCAAUGUGAUGGGAUGAGUGACUAGACUGUAUGCUUAUAAAUUACAAAAUUUAUGUUAAGUUGGAAGAAGUUGGAAAUACACUGGAAAAAGGGAUCGGAAUGGUAAAAUGGUCAAAUUUUCAGACAUGGCUUAAAAUGAACAAGUACAAUAAAUGCAGGUUCUUACGCUGAUGAAGGAAGAAUCUAUUGCACAGAAGCAAAACAGACAAAAAAACACAGAUGGGACAGGAAGACUCCAGAGGAGACUUCAUAGAUCUAAAGAGAUCUGUAAAUGUGAUCAUGUGACCUAAAGCCAGUUCUCAUGUAUGUUAUGUACUGUCAGGGAGAUAGAAAGCUUGAAUACUCCACUACAAAUGAUAGAACACCUCACAUUGGAAAGGACCUUGAAAGAUCAUCUGGCUCAACCUCUCACAGGAAAGGAAGCCUCAAUGAGAUGCUUUCCAGGGGCCUGAACUGGUUUACUGUCUCCAGUUUGGGACAUUAAACUUUUAAAAAAAAUAAAUAAAUAGAAGUGAGUUCAGCACAGUGUAACAGUAUAAGACAAAAGGAAAAAUUGCAAUUUUGUUUAGAUAGUGGGAAAUUGAAGAAGGAAGUACUGACAUCUCCCAGUAUGGAAAAGACUUUUCUAAGAAGAAUAGUGAUCAGUUGUUCUUCAGUGGCAAUUCAGGGAAAAGCAAGGAGAAUCAGCUCGAUUUCCAGGUUAGAAAAAUCAUUUUUGUUAUGAAUGUAGGGAAGCAGUGGAACAAGCUGUGCAGAAGGGCUGCAGAAUACCCUUCAUGGGAAAUCUUUUUCUGGACAAAUUAAGUAACUAUCUCUUGGGACUGUUCUUUACAUGUUUCAUUCUGCCCCAGUGCUGUGGUUUGAGAAAGUGAUCUCUUGAGAUCCCUCCAGCCCUAAAUUUCUGUGAUUCUGUGAAAUUUGUACAUAGAUGUGCAAAUGAGACCAAAUGGAUCUUUAAAGUUUUCUUUCCCUGUGAAAAUGGAAUGGGAAAAUUCUGUAUGAGUCUGGCCCUUAGUUUAAUUUCUUAUAUUAAAUCUUGAAGUAUGACGAUUGUAAUAUUUUUUGUUGCUAGACAUAGUUGAUUUUUUUAAUCUCAAGCUUUCUAUCUAAUAGGCAUAAAUAAAAAUUUGCUCCCCUUAGAUGUGCUGAUGUAUGGAUAUCCAUAAACAGAAGUGAUGCAGCUUGGUUCAGGUGAUUGAGUUCUGAGCCAAAGGACAAGAAUGCCAUUAUUUGUACUUAUAUUUCCACUGGUUUCUCUGAGUCCUUUAAUGUGUCAUUGAAGUCGUCUGCCCUGCCUUCUCCUAUGAAUUCUGGAGUUAUAAUACUGAUACUGUACAAUACACAACCCUAUUGUCAUAUAGGUAAUAAUAUUAUGUGUUAGGCUUAUGAAUAUGAAGUAAGGGUUUACUGUCAACCACAUCCUUCAUUCUAGCAAACCAGAAAAAUGGUAAGAUGUUUACUCACAAAAGGGAUCUUGCCUGGUUUCUUCACACUUGGUAUUACCUUGGCAGUUGUGAAAGCAGAAAUUACUGCUAUUGUUUUACACAAAAACAGAGAUUCUGCAAGAGAAAAUUUAAGGUAAUUUGGAACACUUUGUACUCUUCAGAAUUGGCCACAUUUUCCCUGCCACCCAAAUUAUUGUAAAUUGUAAGUAGUUUUGCAAUGCUGUUAGCAUUAUUUUCUGAGCUCACCGAAAUUUUUUUCGCAAGACAUAUUAUCUAUGAUGAAUCACAGCAUCUUUUAUUAAAAUAGUUAUAAGAGCAUUAAAGCUGUCAGGUAUAAUUUGCAGCUUUUUCUCCUUUAGAUUCAGCACUCUUCCUGAAACAAAGUUAAUUUAAUAACUAGGGAAUCUAAGAUACAAUCAAAUUUAUUAUAUUUACCAGACUUGAAUUUCAGAUGAGAUACCAUUAAAAUGUACUUGAAGAGGAAAGAGCAGAACUGCCAGUGGGCAUUGAAUUAGCAGACUGAAAAUGUCUAAUAAUGUUGUGAUCAAGUGUGUUAUGAUGAUGAGAAAAAGAGGAAGAUGAAUUCUGUUUUUCUUCCUCUGUAUCUUUUACAUGUUCUGCAAGCUGAAAUGAAGGCUAAAAUGUCAGCCCAAAGCUUUAGUUGAGGGGAAGGAGUAUUUUUAGAUUUUUCUGUGACUUACAGUAUGCCUUUUUAACCUAGCACUGCAAUUCUGCCUGAAAAUGUCUAAAUUACGGCUAGAGAAGUAGAUGCUGUUGCUUAUGUGCAUAUAUGAGCACUUGCCACUGUACGCUGCAUACCAGAUGUCAUCCCGUGAGUUCUGCAUCUGCAGAAUUUCUGCUGAAUUCUGAGUGAGGUUUGUGCUUGGAAGACUUCUGGAUCAAGGUUUUCCCGUCAGAAAGAGCUCAGUAAAAGGCCUGUUCAAAAAAAACAAACAAAAAAAUCGCAACCAAAGAAAGAAACAAACCACCCAAAAGCAGUCUUUUCCUGUUGCUGACAUUAGUCUCCUCUGAGUCUCAGUCUCCCAACCCCCUUAACCAAGCUUGUGAUAUUUUAGUUGGUAAUAUGGCCUGCUAUUUUGUGAUCACAUUAGUUGCAUUUGUACUGUGGAGAUUGUUAAUUCCAAAAGGUGCUGCUGGCUUUUGUGUACACUAUUUAAGCUUAAGCAGAGUUUUUGCUUUUCCCAAGGACUUCCACUGACUUUCAUAUAUUUGAAAUCUGAAGUUGUGGUUCUCUGAUUUAUUGUCUGUUAAAGAAUGUUGGCUGUACUAAAAGUAGCAAGGGGAUUAAACAAGAAUAAAAAAGCAGUAUUCCAGAGAACCAGGAUACCAUAAAAUAUUUAUUUCCUGAAGGUACGUUGCCACCUAGCAAACACUGAGAAUAAUGGUCCCACAAAUAGAAAAAAAGAAAAUCCAAAAGGCCUAGGAAAUUUUGCUUGACUUUCAAAAGCUUAAUUGAAGAAAGAACUUGAGGUUUGAGCAUUCCUGCUGAGCUUUUUGCACAAAGAGAUUGUCCUCUGUAUGGCACAUCAUCGGCAGGACAGAAUAAGUCACCUGGCUCUGCUGUAGCUCUAACCCUCCGUAGCUGAGAAUGUUCAUAUCAGGAAGAGGAGGAGGAGGAGGAUGCAUUAACUCCUUCUGGCAUUUCAGAAGAUAUGUAUGCUACAAUGCAGAGCCCUCCAUGCUGAAGGUAGCUUUGACAAAGAGGUUAGGGCACACGGGCCAUAGGUAGGUAAGACACAGGGCCUCGCUCUAGAAUGCCGUAGUCUUUUAGUGUCUGUUUUACACACAUAGUUCCUUGAGGGAUCUCAUAGUUUGAGAAUGACAAAUUUGAUAAAAAAAUGAAAGAGGAUCAGACUGUUACACAAGAAGAACUAAAUGAACUUUUAGUAGGAUUAGAUGAAAUGUUGUAAUACCCAGUGCAAGGUCACUGGGUAUUAUUAUUAAGGGCAAAAUACUAGAAUUUCUGCUCUAAAAAUGCUUAGUGAUUAAGACCUUGAGGACUCCAUACAUGAAUGAGUAUUUCCUGCUUCAGUCAUCAAACAGCCACACCAAAGCAUGACUAAGAUGAAAGGCAAGGCUGUGGUGGAAUGUGGAGCUGAUGAGAUAGCUCUGUACCGAGAACAGAACUGGAGAUGAAAUCUCAGGUGACUGAAUUGGAUUGAUUGCACCUUCCUGAAAAGGUAAAAAACCAGGGAAGGGUAAGAGCCUUUCAAUAAUUAUAAGAAAUAAGAAGGAAAAAACAAAACCCAGAAGACAAGACGUGAAAACAGCUCACAUGACAUUGCAAUCUUACAGCUUAUGCUGUCAGCAAAAAGAGAUUGGAUGGAUUUCUGCACACUCAACAGUAAUUGCCAUACAGCAGCAGUUAGUACUAUUGAAAUGCUGGAACUGAUGGGAACCAACUAGGCUGUAGUGACUGGGAACAGAUGUCUUCAGAAGAGCGUGAGACAGCAUUCUGCGAUGUGAAAGAAAUCCUUGUCUGUCAGUCUAAACUCAUAGUUUGAUUUGUGGACUGGGACAUGUAUCUCUCAUUAGAUAGGAAUUUUAGCUUUUCCCUUCUUUUGUGUCAACAGGUACCCAGUCUGGUACUCAGUGAAGCUGGAACGGUCUUUUUUGUAAAUGCAGCCUAAUGGCUGUUAAUUUUCAGCAGUUACAUACGUUCUAAAUGCCAGCACUAGGGCUAGCAGGGGUGCCUGCACUUGUGAAUGAAUAUAUUCACGAGUGCAAUGUCAGGCACAGUUCCUCUCCAGCCCAGUGUGAAUUCACGUUUUGUCAUGAUCUAGGUGUAAGAGACCUUGAGCUGAGCUGUUUACAUUCCCCCUUGGAGUAAGACUGGAAAUCGGUAAGCUUAUGCAGUUCUAUACCAUCAAGCACUUGCAACUGGAGCCACUUGUGUGAAGCUGCCCUCCAGGAGGUUUGAGGUUGCUGCCUCGUUAUUUGCCUAGUGGACAGAAGCAGGAUUUGAGUUUGCAGCCUGCCAAGUGUGGCUGAAGCCUUGAGGGUCAAAGCACGCACAUUCAGCCCCAGUCAGGAAGAGUCCCUGAAUAUGCAAUAGCUGCAAGCUUUAUGCCCAUGCUGCCCAUCUAAAGUGAGGGGGGAGGAGGCAGACUGCUCUGUGUUUAAUAGGGAAAGGAGUAAAGACUGUGAUCUCUGUGCAUAAAUGCUGUUCAAAAGAUGGAAAAAAAAAAAGUCAUUUUACAACCUUCUGCUCAGAAGUAGUUUAUCUAAGGACUACUCUUUAAAGGAAUUGCUGGUAAGGUCAGGCUGGAAGGCCAGUUACAGGCAAAAUUUAGUAUUAAACUAAUGUUCUUUGUCUCGUGGUGUAUAUUGCAUACAGGCUUGCUGCUGUCUUGUUGCUUGCACCAGCUUUUCUUCUCAGUUUGCUUGAGAAGAAUCAUGUGAAUGAAAAGGUACCAUGAAUAAAAAAGUACCAUGCUUAUCA
Phalacrocorax carbo (great cormorant) is the source of this 9410-nucleotide non-coding RNA. NCBI's taxonomy places the organism in Eukaryota, Metazoa, Chordata, Aves, Suliformes, Phalacrocoracidae. The record is from RefSeq and is a predicted model, not a curated record.